GGGUCGGGGCUGGACACUCAGU
RNAcentral lists this small nuclear RNA (22 nucleotides) under Arabidopsis thaliana (thale cress). RNAcentral describes it as "snRNA_06108". The record is from RNAcentral. Lineage: Eukaryota; Viridiplantae; Streptophyta; Magnoliopsida; Brassicales; Brassicaceae.